CCUACGGGUGGCAGCAGUAGGGAAUUUUUCACAAUGGGCGAAAGCCUGAUGGAGCAAUGCCGCGUGAAUGAUGAAGGUCUUAUAGAUUGUAAAAUUCUUUUAUUUGGGAAGAAAAACUAAAGUAGGAAAUGACUUUAGUCUGACUGUACCAUUUGAAUAAGUAUCGGCUAACUAUGUGCCAGCAGCCGCGGUAAUACAUAGGAUGCAAGCGUUAUCCGGAUUUACUGGGCGUAAAACGAGCGCAGGCGGGUUAACAAGUUUGGUAUGAAAGGCUUUUGCUUAACGAAAGUUUGUAUCAAAAACUGUUAAUCUAGAGUGUAGUAGAGAGUUCUGGAAUUCCUAGUGUAGCGGUGAAAUGCGUAGAUAUUAGGAGGAACACCAGUGGCGAAGGCGACUUUCUGGACUGUACCUGACGCUGAGGCGCGAAAGCGUGGGUAGCGAACGGGAUUAGAUACCCUUGUAGUC
Molecule: ribosomal RNA, 465 nt
Filed under: uncultured bacterium
Lineage: Bacteria
Description: partial 16S ribosomal RNA
Rfam family: Bacterial small subunit ribosomal RNA
Source: RNAcentral